GGUUAAGCGACUAAGCGUACACGGUGGAUGCCCUGGCAGUCAGAGGCGAUGAAGGACGUGCUAAUCUGCGAAAAGCGUCGGUAAGGUGAUAUGAACCGUUACAGCCGGCGAUGUCCGAAUGGGGAAACCCAGUGUGAUUCGUCACACUAUCGUUAACUGAAUACAUAGGUUAACGAGGCGAACCGGGGGAACUGAAACAUCUAAGUACCCCGAGGAAAAGAAAUCAACCGAGAUUCCCCCAGUAGCGGCGAGCGAACGGGGAGCAGCCCAGAGUCUGAAUCAGCUUGUGUGUUAGUGGAACGGUCUGGAAAGUCCGACGGUACAGGGUGAUAGUCCCGUACACCAAAAUGCACAGGCUGUGAACUCGAAGAGUAGGGCGGGACACGUGGUAUCCUGUCUGAAUAUGGGGGGACCAUCCUCCAAGGCUAAAUACUCCUGACUGACCGAUAGUGAACCAGUACCGUGAGGGAAAGGCGAAAAGAACCCCGGCGAGGGGAGUGAAAAAGAACCUGAAACCGUGUACGUACAAGCAGUGGGAGCACCUUCGGGUGUGACUGCGUACCUUUUGUAUAAUGGGUCAGCGACUUAUAUUCUGUAGCAAGGUUAACCGUAUAGGGGAGCCGCAGGGAAACCGAGUCUUAACUGGGCGUUAAGUUGCAGGGUAUAGACCCGAAACCCGGUGAUCUAGCCAUGGGCAGGUUGAAGGUUGGGUAACACUAACUGGAGGACCGAACCGACUAAUGUUGAAAAAUUAGCGGAUGACUUGUGGCUGGGGGUGAAAGGCCAAUCAAACCGGGAGAUAGCUGGUUCUCCCCGAAAGCUAUUUAGGUAGCGCCUCGUGAAUUCAUCUUCGGGGGUAGAGCACUGUUUCGGCUAGGGGGUCAUCCCGACUUACCAACCCGAUGCAAACUACGAAUACCGAAGAAUGUUAUCACGGGAGACACACGGCGGGUGCUAACGUCCGUCGUGAAGAGGGAAACAACCCAGACCGCCAGCUAAGGUCCCAAAGUCAUGGUUAAGUGGGAAACGAUGUGGGAAGGCACAGACAGCCAGGAUGUUGGCUUAGAAGCAGCCAUCAUUUAAAGAAAGCGUAAUAGCUCACUGGUCGAGUCGGCCUGCGCGGAAGAUGUAACGGGGCUAAACCAUGCACCGAAGCUGCGGCAGCGACACUAUGUGUUGUUGGGUAGGGGAGCGUUCUGUAAGCCUGCGAAGGUGUGCUGUGAGGCAUGCUGGAGGUAUCAGAAGUGCGAAUGCUGACAUAAGUAACGAUAAAGCGGGUGAAAAGCCCGCUCGCCGGAAGACCAAGGGUUCCUGUCCAACGUUAAUCGGGGCAGGGUGAGUCGACCCCUAAGGCGAGGCCGAAAGGCGUAGUCGAUGGGAAACAGGUUAAUAUUCCUGUACUUGGUGUUACUGCGAAGGGGGGACGGAGAAGGCUAUGUUAGCCGGGCGACGGUUGUCCCGGUUUAAGCAUGUAGGCUGGUUAUCCAGGCAAAUCCGGAUAAUCAAGGCUGAGGUGUGAUGACGAGGCACUACGGUGCUGAAGUAACAAAUGCCCUGCUUCCAGGAAAAGCCUCUAAGCAUCAGGUAACAUCAAAUCGUACCCCAAACCGACACAGGUGGUCAGGUAGAGAAUACCAAGGCGCUUGAGAGAACUCGGGUGAAGGAACUAGGCAAAAUGGUGCCGUAACUUCGGGAGAAGGCACGCUGGUGUGUAGGUGAAGUCCCUGCGGAUGGAGCUGAGACCAGUCGAAGAUACCAGCUGGCUGCAACUGUUUAUUAAAAACACAGCACUGUGCAAACACGAAAGUGGACGUAUACGGUGUGACGCCUGCCCGGUGCCGGAAGGUUAAUUGAUGGGGUUAUCCGUAAGGAGAAGCUCUUGAUCGAAGCCCCGGUAAACGGCGGCCGUAACUAUAACGGUCCUAAGGUAGCGAAAUUCCUUGUCGGGUAAGUUCCGACCUGCACGAAUGGCGUAAUGAUGGCCAGGCUGUCUCCACCCGAGACUCAGUGAAAUUGAACUCGCUGUGAAGAUGCAGUGUACCCGCGGCAAGACGGAAAGACCCCGUGAACCUUUACUAUAGCUUGACACUGAACAUUGAGCCUUGAUGUGUAGGAUAGGUGGGAGGCUUUGAAGCGUGGACGCCAGUCUGCGUGGAGCCAACCUUGAAAUACCACCCUUUAAUGUUUGAUGUUCUAACGUUGGCCCCUUACCGGGGUUGCGGACAGUGUCUGGUGGGUAGUUUGACUGGGGCGGUCUCCUCCCAAAGCGUAACGGAGGAGCACGAAGGUUAGCUAAUCCUGGUCGGACAUCAGGAGGUUAGUGCAAUGGCAUAAGCUAGCUUGACUGCGAGCGUGACGGCGCGAGCAGGUGCGAAAGCAGGUCAUAGUGAUCCGGUGGUUCUGAAUGGAAGGGCCAUCGCUCAACGGAUAAAAGGUACUCCGGGGAUAACAGGCUGAUACCGCCCAAGAGUUCAUAUCGACGGCGGUGUUUGGCACCUCGAUGUCGGCUCAUCACAUCCUGGGGCUGAAGUAGGUCCCAAGGGUAUGGCUGUUCGCCAUUUAAAGUGGUACGCGAGCUGGGUUUAGAACGUCGUGAGACAGUUCGGUCCCUAUCUGCCGUGGGCGCUGGAGAAUUGAGGGGGGCUGCUCCUAGUACGAGAGGACCGGAGUGGACGCAUCACUGGUGUUCGGGUUGUCAUGCCAAUGGCACUGCCCGGUAGCUAAAUGCGGAAGAGAUAAGUGCUGAAAGCAUCUAAGCACGAAACUUGCCCCGAGAUGAGUUCUCCCUGAGACUUUAAGUCUCCUGAAGGAACGUUGAAGACGACGACGUUGAUAGGCCGGGUGUGUAAGCGCAGCGAUGCGUUGAGCUAACCGGUACUAAUGAACCGUGAGGCUUAACCUU
Molecule: ribosomal RNA, 2902 nt
Filed under: Klebsiella pneumoniae
Lineage: Bacteria; Pseudomonadati; Pseudomonadota; Gammaproteobacteria; Enterobacterales; Enterobacteriaceae
Description: 23S ribosomal RNA
Rfam family: Bacterial large subunit ribosomal RNA
Source: RNAcentral